RNAcentral lists this transfer RNA (71 nucleotides) under Cytophagaceae bacterium. RNAcentral describes it as "tRNA-Ala". It matches the Rfam family "tRNA". Rfam says of the family: Transfer RNA (tRNA) molecules are approximately 80 nucleotides in length. Lineage: Bacteria; Pseudomonadati; Bacteroidota; Cytophagia; Cytophagales; Cytophagaceae. The record is from RNAcentral.
AGUCCAGUCGUCUAAUGGAAGGACGCUUGAUUUGCAUUCAAGAUAUGCGGGUUCGAGUCCCGCCUGGACUU